Long non-coding RNA from Amphiprion ocellaris (clown anemonefish), 1182 nucleotides. Lineage: Eukaryota; Metazoa; Chordata; Actinopteri; Pomacentridae. The record is from Ensembl.
GAGGGCGGUGACGUCUGCAGUGGUAGUGAAACAUCUCUUGAUGCGAGUGUUUCCCUUCCUCUCAGGUAAACGAUCUCCUGCUGCCUCAGAGCCGGAGGGAAAUACAGAGGGGGUGCAUAGAAACCAUAAAGAGCAUUUUGUUGCCUCUGAGCUGCAGCAGGUAUCCUGAUUACUUUGCAGGAAUUCAGUGAGUAGUCUUUGAGCACAUUUUGUCUAUCACGAAGAUCCAUUCUCCUGUGAAUGUCUAACAUUUGGUCCCAUGAAGUAGCUUUGUAGGGAUCCAGUUCAGUGACUGGAAAAGAGAUGCUGCAUCUACUGCUGUUAGGAUGCAAGACAGAUAAAUCACUUAAGUUCAUAUGCUGCCUUUGUACAAUGUGUGAAGCUGGAUGUGUGUGAGUCGUAAUAAGUGGAGAUUGAUCAGAGUGCAGAUUCUUAGAACCACUAAACUGGUUAUCCAGGAUUUCCUGCUUCGCCCUCUUUACUUUAAUGAAGCUUUCACACUCAAGCUGCCUUUUCCUGUAAACUGAGCUGCUGUGUCUGCCAACAAGAUCUGGAGUCACCUUUGGGUCCUGUGAUUUCUCUGUAAGACAUAAAUCCUUCAUUGUGUCGGUUUGACAGCUCCUGUGUUUCUCCUUCUCAUCAGGUUUCUCCCUCCAGUGCAGGUUUGGAGGCUGGUCCGGCUGCUCCCUCUUUGUUGCACGACUGUGGCAAGACGCUGGUGAAGGUGUGCGAACGUCAGAAGGGGGUGGAUGCAACAGCAGCUUCAGAAUAUUCGCCAAAGCAGUUGUGGAUGUGGAUAACAACAGUAUACAACAAUCUGUCCCUCUCUAUCUCCCCACACAUCCACCAACCACUGGAACACAUCUCCAAAGUUCUGCAGGGCCAGCUCAGCUUCCCCUCAGAAGAAGUGCUGCCACCUGCCAGAUGAAGGAGCCUUUUGAGAGGCAGCUGGCAUCGUGAUUGGACUGUACUUUGGUCUGUUCCAAUCCAGCUUCAGCUCCAGAGACGGCAGGCGGGACGAGUCAACGGAGGCCGGAUGGACGAAGACAUGCAGCUGAGUACAAUCCAGAAAACAACAGAGGAGGAGUGCAGGGCCCAGAGCCAGAACAACCAGAGUAGCAUAAAAACUCCUUUAACUUAACAUGUCAACAAAACAAAAACGUAUGAACAAAGUUUUCUGUU